RNAcentral lists this unclassified non-coding RNA (1678 nucleotides) under Hevea brasiliensis (rubber tree). The record is from RNAcentral. Lineage: Eukaryota; Viridiplantae; Streptophyta; Magnoliopsida; Malpighiales; Euphorbiaceae.
GUUGGUUGCCAUGGUUGAUAAGAUCAUUUUCUAGCAGCAAAAUUCAUUUUCAUUCCAUUUUUGUGUUUGGUAGACAAAAGGAGCCUAAGGCUCAAAGAAACAAACUAAAUAGCAACAUUACAAGGAUAAGAAGUUCCACAAAGAUCAUGCUGUAACCAUGAAAAAAUUCCCAUAGGAGGAGCAUUGAAGACAUGAGUACCCAAAGGAAACCUAGAAGCAAAGUGCGCCAUCCAAUCUGCUGAAAAAUUAGCUUCCCUAUAAAUGUAAACAAAAUGAACAGACAAAUCCACUUUCACAUUGAGACAGGAUUGAAUAGCUUGGAUCAAAGAAUGCAGAACUGGAGGACAAUUAAAAUGUCCCUAUAGAAUGGACACCGCCACCUUGUUAUCACUCUCCACAAUCAAGUUUCGAAUGUUCGUAGAAAGAGCCAACUUUAGCCCUUCAAGUAUAGCCUAAAUCUCAGCAGCAAGAAUGGAGCAAUGACCUACAUUUGAGACAAAACCUUUAUACCAAACACCAUUCUCAUCCCUUAUCAGACCUCCAACUGUAGCUUCCCCUAUAGAGUUUCUUUGAGACCCAUCCGUAUUUAGCUUAAAAAUACCCAAUGGAGGCUUCUACCAACUAAUCAAAGGAGCAACUCUAGUAAGCCUGGAACCAUUGGCUUUAAAAGCUUAUUUGAAAUAGAAAGAAACUCUUUCACCUGAACUAUAAUCUGAUCAACAUUGCAACUCAAAAGAGAGUUAUCAUUUAUAAACAGAUGACGAUUCCUUCUGUACCAAAUGCAGCAACAUGCCACUCCAAACAAAACUUCCCAAGAAAUACCAAAUCAAUCCAUACCCUUUUGCCUUAAAUUCCAAGCUACCCAGUCCCUCAUAGACAUAUCCCCACCAAAAAAAAGACCAACUGUAAAUCAGGAGAAACUAGCAGUACCCAAAGAUGUUAAGUAAGCAGACAAUCACGACGUAUAUGAAAGAUAUCCUCAGCAUGAUUCACACAAAAUCACAUGCGGUAGACUGAGCAAUAUGUCUCCUACACCUCUCCACAUUAAUUAGAAGCUUGCUCUGAGCAAGAAGCCAAAGGAAAGAUCUAAUAUGUUGAGGGCCACACCAUUUCCAUAAUAAAUUCCAAACUGAAGAAUGCGGAAUGCAAGAGAGGCCAACAGCUAUUGUAAGCAGAUUUAAUAGAGAAUGUGCCUAAUUUGGAUUCUCCCUAAAACACAGUAUCAGGGCCAUGCGCAGAGGAAGGAGGUGGAAUCACAGCAAUAUUCAUUAAGGUUUGCCUUGGCAGAUAACACUUCAACACAUUCCAGCUCCAAUAUUCUAGCCAAAAGCUUCUUCUUUUUUCGAAAAAUAUUCCCAAAUACCUAUCUAUUCCAAUCACGAACUUGAGAUGUAAAAUUACUAACCGUCUCCAUAAACGAGGAAGAUCUUUGCCAAGCACCAUUAUCAAAAGAGUCAAAAGACUCUUGUGACAUCCAAGUAGCAUGAAAGCGUAAAGGAUGAUCUACAGUGAACAUGGUGGUUGAAGAAGACAAACUAAGAAAAAGCGAAUAAUGAUCUGAAUAAAUUUUUGGCCGGUGAAUUAAAGCAGCUACAAGAAAAGCCAGUCUCCAUUGCUCAUUACAAACCACUCAAUCUAACUGCUCAUUACAAGCCCUUCAUUGAAAUCACACUGAACG